AAAUUGAGGCAUCUUUUCUCCAUUAAGAUGAGACAUUAACUUAAUUGAAUAUUAUAUGAUCUAAUAUUCCAUUAUGUAUCAUCUUAGUGGAGAAAAUAUGCCACUAUUU
This 109-nucleotide microRNA precursor is filed under the name Arabidopsis halleri. RNAcentral describes it as "microRNA S1". Lineage: Eukaryota; Viridiplantae; Streptophyta; Magnoliopsida; Brassicales; Brassicaceae. The record is from RNAcentral.